UGCAGUCGAACGAUGAAGCCCUUCGGGGUGGAUUAGUGGCGAACGGGUGAGUAACACGUGGGCAAUCUGCCCUUCACUCUGGGACAAGCCCUGGAAACGGGGUCUAAUACCGGAUACGAGGUUCGGAGGCAUCUUCGAAUCUGGAAAGCUCCGGCGGUGAAGGAUGAGCCCGCGGCCUAUCAGCUUGUUGGUGAGGUAGUGGCUCACCAAGGCGACGACGGGUAGCCGGCCUGAGAGGGCGACCGGCCACACUGGGACUGAGACACGGCCCAGACUCCUACGGGAGGCAGCAGUGGGGAAUAUUGCACAAUGGGCGAAAGCCUGAUGCAGCGACGCCGCGUGAGGGAUGACGGCCUUCGGGUUGUAAACCUCUUUCAGCAGGGAAGAAGCGAAAGUGACGGUACCUGCAGAAGAAGCGCCGGCUAACUACGUGCCAGCAGCCGCGGUAAUACGUAGGGCGCAAGCGUUGUCCGGAAUUAUUGGGCGUAAAGAGCUCGUAGGCGGCUUGUCACGUCGAUUGUGAAAGCCCGAGGCUUAACCUCGGGUCUGCAGUCGAUACGGGCUAGCUAGAGUGUGGUAGGGGAGAUCGGAAUUCCUGGUGUAGCGGUGAAAUGCGCAGAUAUCAGGAGGAACACCGGUGGCGAAGGCGGAUCUCUGGGCCAUUACUGACGCUGAG
Molecule: ribosomal RNA, 676 nt
Filed under: Streptomyces sp.
Lineage: Bacteria; Bacillati; Actinomycetota; Actinomycetes; Kitasatosporales; Streptomycetaceae
Description: bacterial SSU rRNA
Rfam family: Bacterial small subunit ribosomal RNA
Source: RNAcentral